AAGAGUUUGAUCCUGGCUCAGAAUGAACGCUGGCGGCAUGGAUUAGGCAUGCAAGUCGAACGGAAACGGAGGAGUGCUUGCACUCCAGACGUCGAGUGGCGAAAGGGUGAGUAACGCGUGAGCAACCUGCCCCAAGGUCCGGGAUAGCCCCGCGAAAGCGGGAUUAAUACCGGAUGUGGCCUUCCGACGCAGGCCGGAACAGCUAAAGAUUUAUUGCCUUGGGAUGGGCUCGCGUCCGAUUAGCUAGUUGGUGAGGUAAUGGCUCACCAAGGCUGCGACCGGUAGCUGGUCUGAGAGGAUGGUCAGCCACACUGGGACUGAGACACUGCCCAGACUCCUACGGGAGGCUGCAGUCGAGAAUCUUCCGCAAUGCGCGAAAGCGUGACGGAGCAAUGCCGCGUGAGGGAUGAAGGCUUUCGGGUCGUAAACCUCUGUCACCCGGGAUGAAUUUUGACAGUACCGGGAGAGGAAGCCACGGCUAACUACGUGCCAGCAGCCGCGGUAAUACGUAGGUGGCGAGCGUUAUUCGGAUUUAUUGGGCGUAAAGGGUCCGUAGGGGGUUGGUUAAGUCUGAUGUGAAAGCCCACGGCUCAACCGUGGAACUGCAUUGGAACUGGCCGACUAGAGCAUCGGAGAGGAGAGUGGAAUUCCUGGUGUAGCGGUGGAAUGCGUAGAUAUCAGGAGGAACACCGAUGGCGAAGGCAGCUCUCUGGACGAUUGCUGACCCUGAGGGACGAAAGCUAGGGCAGCGAACAGGAUUAGAUACCCUGGUAGUCCUAGCCGUAAACGUUGUACACUAGGUGUGGGGGGAUUUGGUCCCCUCCGCGCCCCAGCUAACGCGGUAAGUGUACCGCCUGGGGAGUACGGCGGCAACGCUAAAACUCAAAGGAAUUGACGGGGGCCCGCACAAGCGGUGGAGCAUGUGGCUUAAUUCGAGGCAACGCGAAGAACCUUACCUGGGUUUGACAUAUACCGGAUCGCCCGCGAAAUCGG
Molecule: ribosomal RNA, 993 nt
Filed under: uncultured Lentisphaerota bacterium
Lineage: Bacteria; Pseudomonadati; Lentisphaerota
Description: bacterial SSU rRNA
Rfam family: Bacterial small subunit ribosomal RNA
Source: RNAcentral